Molecule: small nucleolar RNA, 100 nt
Organism: Medicago truncatula (barrel medic)
Lineage: Eukaryota; Viridiplantae; Streptophyta; Magnoliopsida; Fabales; Fabaceae
Rfam family: Small nucleolar RNA R30/Z108
About the family: snoR30 is a C/D box small nucleolar RNA which acts as a methylation guide for 18S ribosomal RNA in plants.
Source: Rfam
AUUGUUGACCGUGAGGAUACAAAGCUCCCUCUUCUGAUUUUAAGGUGAGGUCAAUUGCAGGCAGAAUCGAACCUAAAUUAAUCUAGCCACCACUGAGUCA